RNAcentral lists this ribosomal RNA (315 nucleotides) under uncultured bacterium. RNAcentral describes it as "bacterial SSU rRNA". It matches the Rfam family "Bacterial small subunit ribosomal RNA", at positions 69 to 381 of the family's 1533-position model. The record is from RNAcentral.
CACUCAGCAAUGAGUGACCGGCGAACGGGUGCGUAACACGUGAGCGACCUGCCGUACCUGUGGGGGAUAGCCGGCCCAACGGCCGGGUAAUACCGCAUACGAUCGUUUUGUCGCACGGCGAGACGACNAAAGCUUGGCGCAAGUCAGGCGCAGGACGAGGGGCUCGCGGCCUAUCAGCUUGUUGGCGGGGUAACGGCCCACCAAGGCGACGACGGGUAGCUGGUCUGAGAGGAUGNCCAGCCACAUUGGGACUGAGAGACGGCCCAGACUCCUACGGGAGGCAGCAGUGGGGGAAUCUUGCGCAAUGNCCGAAAG